CUCCGAAGGAGGUUUGAGCCGAACGUAGUGAGACCACGUUGCUUUAACAACGGCCCGCAGGGCAAGCAUCGAAGAUGCGCAUAAUCCUCUCAUGCCGACCA
RNAcentral lists this small RNA (101 nucleotides) under Serratia marcescens. RNAcentral's name for it is "partial RtT sRNA". It matches the Rfam family "RtT RNA", at positions 30 to 130 of the family's 130-position model. From Rfam's summary of the family: This family represents a bacterial cis-regulatory element known as RtT RNA. The exact function of RtT is unknown although it is thought that it may be involved in changing the cellular response in relation to amino acid starvation. The record is from RNAcentral. Lineage: Bacteria; Pseudomonadati; Pseudomonadota; Gammaproteobacteria; Enterobacterales; Yersiniaceae.